AAGUCGUAACAAGGUAUCCGUAGGUGAACCUGCGGAUGGAUCAUUACCAAAGGAUUUUAUCCAUUGUCUUGUGAACUGUUUUGAACACACGGUCAGAGGCCUCGGUCUCUGGCUGUACACUAAACCUUUAAACAUAACUUACAUACUAUUUAUAAAACUAUAAAUAACUUUUAGCAAUGGAUCUCUUGGCUCUC
RNAcentral lists this unclassified non-coding RNA (194 nucleotides) under fungal sp. RNAcentral's name for it is "partial internal transcribed spacer region". The stretch from base 1 to 46 matches the Rfam family "Eukaryotic small subunit ribosomal RNA", at positions 1786 to 1831 of the family's 1831-position model. The record is from RNAcentral. Lineage: Eukaryota; Fungi.